Molecule: small nuclear RNA, 109 nt
Organism: Carlito syrichta (Philippine tarsier)
Lineage: Eukaryota; Metazoa; Chordata; Mammalia; Primates; Tarsiidae
Source: Ensembl
GUCAUCUUGCUUUGGCAGGACAUAUACUAGAGUUGGGACAAUAUGAAGAAGAUUAGCAUGACCUCUGCCCAAGCAUGAGAGGUAAAUUUGUGAAGUGUUCCAUAUUUUA